UACGAAGGGGGCUAGCGUUGCUCGGAAUUACUGGGCGUAAAGGGAGCGUAGGCGGACAUUUAAGUCAGGGGUGAAAUCCCGGAGCUCAACUCCGGAACUGCCCUUGAUACUGGGUGGCUUGAGUGUGAGAGAGGUAUGUGGAACUCCGAGUGUAGAGGUGAAAUUCGUAGAUAUUCGGAAGAACACCAGUGGCGAAAGCGACAUACUGGGUCAUUACUGACGCUGAGGGUCGAAAGCGUGGGGAGCAAACAGG
Molecule: ribosomal RNA, 253 nt
Filed under: uncultured bacterium
Lineage: Bacteria
Description: partial 16S ribosomal RNA
Rfam family: Bacterial small subunit ribosomal RNA
Source: RNAcentral